UGUAAAAGUAGCGUAAUGAAUUCUUAACGGAUGGAAGCGUGGAAGAGGGGUGCAAAGCCCCCGCUGCCCCGCAGCCGUAAAGGGAACGAAAGCCCGAUCGCCGCAAGGCGAUAACGCCACUGGGAAUACCUGGGAAGGCGGGCAAGUAGGUCGCCCUGAGUCGGAAUACCGCUCCAUUCGCUCGCUUCGGG
This 191-nucleotide non-coding RNA is filed under the name Geobacteraceae bacterium. Lineage: Bacteria; Pseudomonadati; Thermodesulfobacteriota; Desulfuromonadia; Geobacterales; Geobacteraceae. The record is from RNAcentral.